AACGAACGCUGGCGGCAGGCUUAACACAUGCAAGUCGAACGCAUCCUUCGGGAUGAGUGGCAGACGGGUGAGUAACACGUGGGAACCUACCCGAAGGUACGGAAUAACACAGGGAAACUUGUGCUAAUACCGUAUGUGCCCUUCGGGGGAAAGAUUUAUCGCCUUUGGAUGGGCCCGCGUCGGAUUAGCUAGUUGGUGGGGUAAUGGCCUACCAAGGCGACGAUCCGUAGCUGGUCUGAGAGGAUGAUCAGCCACACUGGGACUGAGACACGGCCCAGACUCCUACGGGAGGCAGCAGUGGGGAAUAUUGGACAAUGGGCGCGAGCCUGAUCCAGCCAUGCCGCGUGAGUGAUGAAGGCCUUAGGGUUGUAAAGCUCUUUCAGCUGGGAAGAUAAUGACGGUACCAGCAGAAGAAGCCCCGGCUAACUUCGUGCCAGCAGCCGCGGUAAUACGAAGGGGCUAGCGUUGUUCGGAAUCACUGGGCGUAAAGCGCACGUA
This 498-nucleotide ribosomal RNA is filed under the name uncultured bacterium. RNAcentral describes it as "bacterial SSU rRNA". It matches the Rfam family "Bacterial small subunit ribosomal RNA", at positions 28 to 573 of the family's 1533-position model. The record is from RNAcentral.